This 398-nucleotide ribosomal RNA is filed under the name uncultured bacterium. Its description in RNAcentral is "partial 16S ribosomal RNA". It matches the Rfam family "Bacterial small subunit ribosomal RNA", at positions 523 to 918 of the family's 1533-position model. The record is from RNAcentral.
AUACGUAGGGUGCGAGCGUUGUCCGGAAUUACUGGGCGUAAAGAGCUCGUAGGUGGUUUGUCGCGUCGUCUGUGAAAUUCCGGGGCUUAACUCCGGGCGUGCAGGCGAUACGGGCAUAACUUGAGUACUGUAGGGGAGACUGGAAUUCCUGGUGUAGCGGUGAAAUGCGCAGAUAUCAGGAGGAACACCGGUGGCGAAGGGGGGUCUCUGGGCGGUAACUGACGCUGAGGAGCGAAAGCAUGGGUAGCGAACAGGAUUAGAUACCCUGGUAGUCCAUGCCGUAAACGGUGGGCGCUAGGUGUAGGGGUCUUCCACGACUUCUGUGCCGUAGCUAACGCAUUAAGCGCCCCGCCUGGGGAGUACGGCCGCAAGGCUAAAACUCAAAGGAAUUGACGGGG